Molecule: long non-coding RNA, 332 nt
Organism: Jaculus jaculus (lesser Egyptian jerboa)
Lineage: Eukaryota; Metazoa; Chordata; Mammalia; Rodentia; Dipodidae
Exons: 3
Source: RefSeq, a predicted model, not a curated record
GCGAGACUUUGAGGCUGUGGAAGGCGCGGAGCCCGCGAGCUGCUGCGAGGAGCUGGGCCGGCAGCUCUGACCCAGUGACACGUUUCUACAUGCGUUUUACGGAGUGGAAAAGGCUUCCAAGCAAACCUAGUGGACGGCCAACCACACCUCACGAAUUGAGUCCUGAAGGUUCCGUGUAAAGAACGGUGUUCUCCCAAGGGCUAUGUUGUGAUGGUCACGUGGAGUGGAAAGCGACAAGUUGAAAGCACUUAUAAUGGGCUGCAAAAGAUAUAAACUAAGUAUGGAUACAUCAUGUGUUGAUGCCAUCCUUUCUCUCAUCCUUGUCCCUAUUC